UCGAGAAUCUUCCGCAAUGGGCGCAAGCCUGACGGAGCGACGCCGCGUGCGGGAUGAAGGCCUUCGGGUUGUAAACCGCUGUCAGUUGGGAGGAAAUGCUAUGGGGCACUCUCCAUAGUUUGACCGAUCUUCAGAGGAAGUACGGGCUAAGUUCGUGCCAGCAGCCGCGGUAACACGAACCGUACGAACGUUAUUCGGAAUCACUGGGCUUAAAGAGUUCGUAGGCGGCCCUGCAGGUGAGGUGUGAAAUCCCACGGCUCAACCGUGGAACUGCGCUUCAAACCGCAGGGCUUGAGGGAGACAGAGGUGAGUGGAACUGAUGGUGGAGCGGUGAAAUGCGUUGAUAUCAUCAGGAACACCGGUGGCGAAAGCGGCUCACUGGGUCUCUUCUGACGCUGAGGAACGAAAGCUAGGGGAGCGAACGGGAUUAGAUACCCCCGUAGUCC
Molecule: ribosomal RNA, 446 nt
Filed under: uncultured prokaryote
Description: bacterial SSU rRNA
Rfam family: Bacterial small subunit ribosomal RNA
Source: RNAcentral